AGCUUUGCGCAGUGGCAGUAUCGUAGCCAAUGAGGUUUAUCCGAGGCGCGAUUAUUGCUAAUUAAAAGUUCAAGUAAUAGAAAUGUAUUAAAAUAUGAACAUAUAUUGUAUAUGUAUUACACUACAUUAUUUUAUAAUA
Molecule: small nuclear RNA, 139 nt
Organism: Herpailurus yagouaroundi (jaguarundi)
Lineage: Eukaryota; Metazoa; Chordata; Mammalia; Carnivora; Felidae
Product: U4 spliceosomal RNA
Exons: 1
Source: RefSeq, a predicted model, not a curated record